Molecule: ribosomal RNA, 252 nt
Filed under: uncultured bacterium
Lineage: Bacteria
Description: partial 16S ribosomal RNA
Rfam family: Bacterial small subunit ribosomal RNA
Source: RNAcentral
UACGAAGGGUGCAAACGUUGCUCGGAAUCAUUGGGCGUAAAGCGCACGUAGGCGGCUUCGCAAGUCGGAUGUGAAAUCCCUCGGCUCAACCGAGGACGUGCAUCCGAAACUGCGGAGCUUGAGUACUGAAGAGGAUGCGGAAUUCCCGGUGUAGAGGUGAAAUUCGUAGAUAUCGGGAGGAACACCAGUGGCGAAGGCGGCUUACUGGACCGGUUCUGACGCUGAGGCGCGAAAGCGUGGGGAGCAAACAGG